GCGUCGGUGGUGCAAACGGUUAGCAUACACUACCAGAAAAAGUGAGAUACGGGUUCGAAUCCCGGCUGACGCA
This is a non-coding RNA of Parelaphostrongylus tenuis, 73 nucleotides long. NCBI's taxonomy places the organism in Eukaryota, Metazoa, Nematoda, Chromadorea, Rhabditida, Metastrongylidae. The record is from the annotation of a GenBank genome assembly.